UACGUAGGGGGCAAGCGUUGUCCGGAAUCAUUGGGCGUAAAGAGCGUGUAGGCGGCCCGGUAAGUCCGCUGUGAAAGUCCAGGGCUCAACCCUGGAAUGCCGGUGGAAACUGUCGGGCUAGAGUCCGGAAGAGGCGAGUGGAAUUCCUGGUGUAGCGGUGAAAUGCGUAGAUAUCGGAAGGAACACCAGUGGCGAAAGCGGCUUCCUGGUCCAGCACCGACGUUCAGGCACGAAAGCGUGGGGAGCAAACAGG
Molecule: ribosomal RNA, 253 nt
Filed under: uncultured bacterium
Lineage: Bacteria
Description: partial 16S ribosomal RNA
Rfam family: Bacterial small subunit ribosomal RNA
Source: RNAcentral